Molecule: long non-coding RNA, 1085 nt
Filed under: Olea europaea subsp. europaea
Lineage: Eukaryota; Viridiplantae; Streptophyta; Magnoliopsida; Lamiales; Oleaceae
Source: RNAcentral
GCAAUCCUCAAAAUUGGAGAAAACAUGGAGCAUAAUUUCCUUCAAUUCGACCUUGCUCCCCGACAAAUCGAACCAGAUGCAACGCACAAGACUCCAGAUUAUUUUUUCUUAACUCAAUACCUUGGUCCGCUGUUUGUAGUCCUCCCUGAUUGCAGUUAUGUUACUGUAGAUGUGUCUUAAGAGAUAAAUUUUGUUAUUUUGAGGAUUAUUUUCUACAUUCUUUCUUUCUGAGUUUGCUCUUCUUCUACUACUGCUGACUUUGAUUAUGUGCUCAAAAUAUUUUCCAGAGAUGUGAAGAAGGCAUGAGUCUCUUGGCUUGUAUAUUUUUUCCCAAAAAGGGGAAGAAGGUAUGACAUGAUAUAAAUGUAUUCUGUAAUUUACAAUUUAUGGGAGGAAAGCUUAUUUGAGUACCAUAUCUUAUUUUUCUUUUUUAACUUAGUGGAAGCACUGGCAAAUAAAUAAAUAUUUUGGAGACUUGACAUUGGGAUGAAGGUUCUGCCAAAUUUGAGAACUUUUGGUAAGGGUAAGAAUUUAGUUGCGUUGCGCAGGCAGUUCUCAAUUGAGCAAUAUGCCUGAUUUUCAUGUUUAGGGACAUGGGUUUCUUGAUUUGGUUUGGAUUUUGAUAUGCUGUGAUUAUUUUUGGUAUAUGAUGGUUUUUUCCUCUAGUCCGAGAGGAGUGCCGGGGGCCAGAAGAAUGUAACCGUUGGUGGUGGUGGUGGUGGUGGUGGUGAUUGGGAUGGAUUGGGUGGAUUUGGGAAGAAGAAGGAACAGUUUUUCCAUUUCUUUUGUUAUUUAAUAUGGUAAAUAUGAAAGUACUAUUUUAUCCUCAUUGAAAUUGAUUAUAAUGUGCUCAAAGUUAAAAUUUUUGGUCAAUUAACUGAAUUUGGAUUAAAACUGUUCAGAAGGGCUUGAUCUGCAACGUUUGAAAAUGUUAAGAGUGACGACUGCAGCAAAUCAAAAGUUUGAAAAAAAUUUGUUAGUGUUUCAAAGGUUUAAAACUUUUGCUACAAUCAUCCCUUAAUUUAGGAAUAUUAUGUGUACGUUAGGUAGGGCUACAAGCAAAAGCCAAGGGUGUGGGAUUCCUA